GCGGUGGAGGAUGAGCUCGCGGCCUAUCAGCUUGUUGGUGGGGUAACGGCCUACCAAGGCGACGACGGGUAGCCGGCCUGAGAGGGUGACCGGCCACACUGGGACUGAGACACGGCCCAG
RNAcentral lists this ribosomal RNA (120 nucleotides) under uncultured bacterium. RNAcentral describes it as "partial 16S ribosomal RNA". It matches the Rfam family "Bacterial small subunit ribosomal RNA", at positions 215 to 334 of the family's 1533-position model. The record is from RNAcentral.